UACGUAGGUGGCAAGCGUUGUCCGGAAUUACUGGGUGUAAAGGGAGCGCAGGCGGGAAGCCAAGUCAGCUGUGAAAACUACGGGCUUAACUUGUAGACUGCAGUUGAAACUGGUUUUCCUGAGUGAAGUAGAGGUUGGCGGAAUUCCGAGUGUAGCGGUGAAAUGCGUAGAUAUUCGGAGGAACACCGGUGGCGAAGGCGGCCAACUGGGCUUUAACUGACGCUGAGGCUCGAAAGUGUGGGGAGCAAACAGG
Molecule: ribosomal RNA, 253 nt
Filed under: uncultured bacterium
Lineage: Bacteria
Description: partial 16S ribosomal RNA
Rfam family: Bacterial small subunit ribosomal RNA
Source: RNAcentral